AUUGUAACUAGCGCAGUUGCUAGUAAAGAGCUAGCUAGUUACUCUAAGAUUGUAACUAGCCCAGUUGCUAGUAAAGAGCUAGCUAAUAUUGUAAAUAGCUCAGUUGCUAAUAAAGAGCUAUCUAAUAUUGUAAAUAGCUCAGUUGCUAGUAAAGAGCUAGCUAGUUACUCUAAGAUUGUGUUUUAGCAUUAAACAUCGUAUCCUAAUCAAUAUCUUUUAAAGAAAAAAACAUAUCAGUGCCAACCGAAUUAAUGUUUGUCUUUAAAAAUGGAUUAGCAUAUGUAGCUAUUACUAGCAUGUUGACUAGGAAGCUAGUUUGCUAGCUAGCCCUGUUUGUGUUGCACAGCGAAAUAGUUCAUGUAACCCUGUUGCGAUUUAUAAACGUGUUCCCAAACCGUCGUAUCCGCCGGUGCAAUUCCUCAUCUCGUUGAACUUGCGAUGUCAUUUCCUGUCCUCUGUCUCACACUGGAUAUUGUUUUCUCCCCCUCAUGUAAUGGAUUGUGAAUGAAAGUAAGCACGAGGUUAAAUAUUUACUACGCACGGUGGCAGUAAAAUAAAGAGACGAAACUUUGAACUUGCCCAUGAGUUUGAACACGCAAUGAACGCCGUGAGAAGCUAAAACCCCACCUCGAAGUUCAGACGUUGCUGGUUCCAAACAUGAGUUCGGCUCCGUACUCACACGGAGAUAAAAGACAGGCUGAUAAAAGGAGAGAGUUCCGGAAGCGUGACUGGUCCAUCGAGCAACCUCCUCUCUUGCCAGAGGAAGACUCUCAUCCUCAAUCAUCAGGACCCGACGGCGUACAUGAAGGGCAACGUGUCAAGAGCGAGACCGGUUCCAUUCCAAAAUGACGACAAGGAGGACAAAGCUGGGAUAAUGCAUGUGUGAUCUGCUGAAAAGAUGACGAACUGUUCGUCCUUAUUCCAGCAACAGAGCAUAUAAACACAGACCUACACCCAAUUUAACUGGUAACACCUAAACAACGAGUUCAUUUUAUGAAUUUAAAGGAUUUGCUGUGACAUGUUUUGUUCUUGUUGUUGUUUUUUUUUUUUUGCAUUUAAAAAAACUUCCUAUAUUUACAGCAUUAAUUCCAAGUGAUUGUAAUUCUAUAAUCGUCCACUAGAGGCCACUAGACAGAUAGCGAAAACUGACUUGGGGGGGACAUUUCAUAUGAAAAAAGAAGAGAGACAGAAAGAUGGAAACAGAUGCGGUCAUUAUGAUGGCGGUGUGUAUUCACCACAGCACAACAAUGGCAGAGAUGUUUUUCAGACAAAGACAGAGAACGAUGGAUUCUUUGAAUCGUAUCUUCUUAUACCUAUUUUAUGUACUGAGUUUUUUUCUUCUUCUUCUUUUGUUCUGUUCUCUCUGAAUAUGGCCUAUUCAGCGAGGCUGAUGCACUCUGUAAAUAAAUGAAUGAAUAAAACCGGUUUUCUGGGUUAGUCACUAAUUUUGUUUAUACUGAACACCAGCUUCUAGUGGUAGUGUAGGAAAUAAUACACACUAUAUGCCAUGUACAGAGUUGGGUUAUGCGUGCGGUGAGGAUUUAAUACCGUUAUCAGUGUUCAGAUCUCAGAUUUUAUGUUUUGGCUUUUAAAAACAAACACUAAAAAAUGUGGUGUGCCUUUUGAGGGUUAUAUUAAAUGCAUAAAUAUUACACUGUUCAUUCUUUUAAAAUGCACAAGGUUUUUCAUCGGAAGAGACACGUCUUAAUCAGAGACACCGCUUAAAGGAAUGACUUGAAUUUUUAUGCAUAAAAUAAUGAAUUAAUUUCAAGUGUAGCGCUUGGUCAGCUUAUCCUUCAAACCCUGAGCAUGCUUUCUUUACAGCAGGGCUAAUAGCUUACGUCUUUUAACACACGUAAGUGUCGAGACUCACACUAAAACAUGAGGUCAUGCAAAAUGAAUCAAAAUUUGUUUUGCACCAACAUUGGAAGUUACACUGUCCUACACAA
Ictalurus punctatus (channel catfish) is the source of this 1949-nucleotide long non-coding RNA. The record is from Ensembl. Lineage: Eukaryota; Metazoa; Chordata; Actinopteri; Siluriformes; Ictaluridae.